CAGAGUGGAUCCUGAGUACGGCGGAACACGUGAAAUUCCGUCGGAAUCCGGGAGGACCAUCUCCCAAGGCUAAAUACUCCCUAGUGACCGAUAGUGAACCAGUACCGUGAGGGAAAGGUGAAAAGCACCCCGGAAGGGGAGUGAAAUAGAUCCUGAAACCGUGUGCCUACAAGUAGUCAGAGCCCGUUAAAGGGUGAUGGCGUGCCUUUUGUAGAAUGAACCGGCGAGUUACGAUCCCGUGCAAGGUUAAGCAGAAGAUGCGGAGCCGCAGCGAAAGCGAGUCUGAAUAGGGCGCAUGAGUACGUGGUCGUAGACCCGAAACCAGGUGAUCUACCCAUGUCCAGGGUGAAGUUCAGGUAACACUGAAUGGAGGCCCGAACCCACGCACGUUGAAAAGUGCGGGGAUGAGGUGUGGGUAGGGGUGAAAUGCCAAUCGAACCUGGAGAUAGCUGGUUCUCUCCGAAAUAGCUUUAGGGCUAGCCUCAAGGUAAGAGUCUCGGAGGUAGAGCACUGAUUGGACUAGGGGCCCCUACCGGGUUACCGAAUUCAGUCAAACUCCGAAUGCCGAUGACUUAUCCUUGGGAGUCAGACUGCGAGUGAUAAGAUCCGUAGUCGAAAGGGAAACAGCCCAGACCGCCAGCUAAGGUCCCAAAGUAUACGUUAAGUGGAAAAGGAUGUGGAGUUGCUUAGACAACCAGGAUGUUGGCUUAGAAGCAGCCACCAUUUAAAGAGUGCGUAAUAGCUCACUGGUCGAGUGACUCUGCGCCGAAAAUGUACCGGGGCUAAACGUAUCACCGAAGCUGCGGACUGUUCUAACGAACAGUGGUAGGAGAGCGUUCUAAGUGCUGUGAAGUCAGACCGGAAGGACUGGUGGAGCGCUUAGAAGUGAGAAUGCCGGUAUGAGUAGCGAAAGACGGGUGAGAAUCCCGUCCACCGAAUGCCUAAGGUUUCCUGAGGAAGGCUCGUCCGCUCAGGGUUAGUCGGGACCUAAGCCGAGGCCGAAAGGCGUAGGCGAUGGACAACAGGUUGAUAUUCCUGUACCACCUCCUCACCAUUUGAGCAAUGGGGGGACGCAGGAGGAUAGGGUAAGCGCGGUAUUGGAUAUCCGCGUCCAAGCAGUUAGGCUGGGAAAUAGGCAAAUCCGUUUCCCGUGAAGGCUGAGCUGUGAUGGCGAGCGAAAUUUAGUAGCGAAGUUCCUGAUUCCACACUGCCAAGAAAAGCCUCUAGCGAGGUGAGAGGUGCCCGUACCGCAAACCGACACAGGUAGGCGAGGAGAGAAUCCUAAGGUGAUCGAGAGAACUCUCGUUAAGGAACUCGGCAAAAUGACCCCGUAACUUCGGGAGAAGGGGUGCUUCUUAGGGUGUUAAAGCCCCGAGAAGCCGCAGUGAAUAGGCCCAGGCGACUGUUUAGCAAAAACACAGGUCUCUGCGAAGCCGUAAGGCGAAGUAUAGGGGCUGACGCCU
Molecule: ribosomal RNA, 1463 nt
Filed under: Bacillus pumilus
Lineage: Bacteria; Bacillati; Bacillota; Bacilli; Caryophanales; Bacillaceae
Description: partial 23S ribosomal RNA
Rfam family: Bacterial large subunit ribosomal RNA
Source: RNAcentral